Molecule: long non-coding RNA, 137 nt
Organism: Arabidopsis lyrata subsp. lyrata
Lineage: Eukaryota; Viridiplantae; Streptophyta; Magnoliopsida; Brassicales; Brassicaceae
Exons: 2
Source: RefSeq, a predicted model, not a curated record
UCAACCGUUUCAUAAACUGCAGUCAACAACUGCUUUCCAAAUAGAAUCUACUUAUGCAUAAUUGGACAAGGAGAAUUAGUGAUAGAAUGGUGAAGCAUAUCAAAUAUGAUGAGGUAAUGGCAAGCACGAAUCCUUAG